Long non-coding RNA from Panicum virgatum (switchgrass), 727 nucleotides. RefSeq lists it as uncharacterized. The record is from RefSeq and is a predicted model, not a curated record. The transcript has 2 exons. Lineage: Eukaryota; Viridiplantae; Streptophyta; Magnoliopsida; Poales; Poaceae.
UCGACGCAGUCCUCCACGUCGAAGGCCAGGUAGCGGAGCUGCCUCACCCAGGUCAGCUCCACUUCGUUCCCGGCGCGCUCCCUGUUGGUGACGCGGAGGAAGGACUGCAUCAUCUCGAACUCGCCGGUGAUGAACACCAGUUUUGCAGUACGCGGUCGCCCUCCAUCCACUUGGCCUCGCGCUGACCAUCCAGACUCCUCGUCCUAUAAAAUUUAUCUGAAGGUGACAUGAUCAGAGUGGUCUGUUGUUGUUGUCGUCGUCGUGAUGCACGCAGCUACUGUUUCGCCUGCUAAGUAUAAAUUGUACAAAAAAAUCUAUUCCAAGAUGCCAAGAGCGCUCUGUAAUUUUGAACCCUUUUUUUCCAUGACAUGUCUUUUUGGGAGAGGGGGCGUGACAGAAAGAAAAUGACGGGGACAUAAAAGUCGUGGUAGGUGGUGGGCAUUAUUGGUGAUAAUCUUGGACUUGCAUCGGAAAUUUGUGGUUCUUCUUAUUAAUAUAAGCAAGAACUUGUCCGGAUCUUUGAAAAAAAGAUUGGAAAUUUGGAAGUAUGCGUGGCCGCCCGAAGGUGUCGAAAUGUCAGAGGGCCUCGAGCACACGGGACUGACACAAUAAUCUACGAUGGGUGGGUGCAUGCCAGCAUGAGGCGUUGCCUAGUUUUUAUUUAACAAAUAUAGCUUGUUGUCAGCUUAUUUUGAUUUGAACAGAAUUGAAAGCUAGAGCUCUUUUA